CUCCCGACUGUUUACCAAAAACACAGCACUCUGCUAACUCGUAAGAGGAUGUAUAGGGUGUGACGCCUGCCCGGUGCUCGAAGGUUAAUUGAUGGGGUUAGCAUUAGCGAAGCUCUUGAUCGAAGCCCGAGUAAACGGCGGCCGUAACUAUAACGGUCCUAAGGUAGCGAAAUUCCUUGUCGGUUAAAUACCGACCUGCAUGAAUGGCGUAACGAGAUGGGAGCUGUCUCAAAGAGGGAUCCAGUGAAAUUGUAGUGGAGGUGAAAAUUCCUCCUACCCGCGGCAAGACGGAAAGACCCCGUGGACCUUUACUACAGCUUGACACUGCUACUUGGAUAAGAAUGUGCAGGAUAGGUGGGAGGCUUUGA
Molecule: ribosomal RNA, 368 nt
Filed under: Campylobacter jejuni
Lineage: Bacteria; Pseudomonadati; Campylobacterota; Epsilonproteobacteria; Campylobacterales; Campylobacteraceae
Description: partial 23S ribosomal RNA
Rfam family: Bacterial large subunit ribosomal RNA
Source: RNAcentral